ACACCAGUCAGACGUAUCAAGAUGAUCUCACAGGCUCAGCUCAUCUGGCUGUUAGUCCUCUGGAUCCAGGACUCCAGCGGGCAGAUUGUGCUGACUCAGACUCCAGAAUCCCUGGCAGUGUCUCCUGGAGACACAGUUACUAUCCGCUGCAAAGCCAGUUCAAGCCUCACCAGUGGUGGCUAUCACUACUUAGCCUGGUACCAACAGAAAUCAGGACAAGCUCCGAAGCUCCUUAUCUAUCUUGCUUCUACCCUGCAAUCCGGGGUCCCGGCCCGGUUCAAAGGCAGUGGGUCUGGCACUGAUUACACCCUCACAAUCAGUAAGGUUGAAGCUGAAGAUGCUGGAGAUUAUUACUGUCAGCAGUCCCGCAGCUACCCUCUCACAGUGAUUCAGACCAAUACAAAAACCUCCCCAUCCUGUUCCUUUCAGGGUAACAGCUGCUUCCUAUCCAUAGUGUAA
Caretta caretta (loggerhead turtle) is the source of this 459-nucleotide non-coding RNA. The record is from the annotation of a RefSeq genome assembly. Lineage: Eukaryota; Metazoa; Chordata; Testudines; Cheloniidae.